AUAUAAUACAACCUGCUAAGUGUUCUAGCACUUAGCACGUUGUAUUAUUAUU
Molecule: microRNA precursor, 52 nt
Filed under: Rattus norvegicus (Norway rat)
Lineage: Eukaryota; Metazoa; Chordata; Mammalia; Rodentia; Muridae
Description: Rno-Mir-374-P2_pre stem-loop
Rfam family: mir-374 microRNA precursor family
Source: RNAcentral